Molecule: ribosomal RNA, 478 nt
Filed under: uncultured bacterium
Lineage: Bacteria
Description: partial 16S ribosomal RNA
Rfam family: Bacterial small subunit ribosomal RNA
Source: RNAcentral
GACGAACGCUGGCGGCGUGCUUAACACAUGCAAGUCGAACGGGAUUUAGUAAACAGAAACCUCGGUGGAAGAUUACUAAUGAGAGUGGCGAACGGGUGAGUAACGCGUGAGCAACCUGCCUAUGACAGUGGGAUAGCCUCGGGAAACCGGGAUUAAUACCGCAUCAAAUCGUAGAAACACAUGUUUUAACGGUCAAAGAUUUAUCGGUCAUAGAUGGGCUCGCGUCUGAUUAGCUAGUUGGUGAGAUAACAGCCCACCAAGGCGACGAUCAGUAGCCGGUAGGAGAGGAUGAACGGCCACAUUGGAACUGAGACACGGUCCACACUCCUACGGGAGGCAGCAGUGGGGAAUAUUGCACAAUGGGGGAAACCCUGAUGCAGCGACGCCGCGUGAACGAAGAAGGUAUUCGUAUCGUAAAGUUCUGUCCUAUGGGAAGAUAAUGACAGUACCAUAGAAGAAAGCUCCGGCUAAAUACGUG